AUUGAACGCUGGCGGAAUGCUUUACACAUGCAAGUCGAACGGUAACAGGUUAAGCUGACGAGUGGCGAACGGGUGAGUAAUACAUCGGAACGUGCCCAGUCGUGGGGGAUAACGUAGAGAAAUUUACGCUAAUACCGCAUACGAUCUAAGGAUGAAAGCGGGGGACCGUAAGGCCUCGCGCGAUUGGCGAGGCCGAUGUCAGAUUAGGUAGUCGGUGGGGUAAAGGCCUACCAAGCCGACGAUCUGUAGCUGGUCUGAGAGGACGACCAGCCACACUGGGACUGAGACACGGCCCAGACUCCUACGGGAGGCAGCAGUGGGGAAUUUUGGACAAUGGGCGCAAGCCUGAUCCAGCCAUUCCGCGUGCAGGAUGAAGGCCCUCGGGUUGUAAACUGCUUUUGUACAGAACGAAAAGGUCUGGGUUAAUACCCUGGGCUCAUGACGGUACUGUAAGAAUAGGCACCGGCUAACUACGUGCCAGCCGCCGCCGUAA
Molecule: ribosomal RNA, 493 nt
Filed under: uncultured bacterium
Lineage: Bacteria
Description: partial 16S ribosomal RNA
Rfam family: Bacterial small subunit ribosomal RNA
Source: RNAcentral